AUUGAACGCUGGCGGCAUGCUUUACACAUGCAAGUCGAACGGUAACAGGCCGCAAGGUGCUGACGAGUGGCGAACGGGUGAGUAAUGCAUCGGAACGUGCCCAGUCGUGGGGGAUAACUACUCGAAAGAGUAGCUAAUACCGCAUACGAUCUAUGGAUGAAAGCGGGGGACCGUAAGGCCUCGCGCGAUUGGAGCGGCCGAUGUCAGAUUAGGUAGUUGGUGGGGUAAAGGCUCACCAAGCCAACGAUCUGUAGCUGGUCUGAGAGGACGACCAGCCACACUGGGACUGAGACACGGCCCAGACUCCUACGGGAGGCAGCAGUGGGGAAUUUUGGACAAAGGGCGCAAGCCUGAUCCAGCAGUGCCGCGUGCAGGAAGAAGGCCUUCGGGUUGUAAACUGCUUUUGUACGGAACGAAACGGCUCUGGUUAAUACCCGGGGCUAAUGACGGUACCGUAAGAAUAAGCACCGGCUAACUACGUG
Molecule: ribosomal RNA, 482 nt
Filed under: uncultured bacterium
Lineage: Bacteria
Description: partial 16S ribosomal RNA
Rfam family: Bacterial small subunit ribosomal RNA
Source: RNAcentral